GCCGGGAUGGUGGAAUUGGCAGACACGUACGUUUGAGGGGCGUAUGCCUUACGGCGUGGGGGUUCGAGUCCCCCUCCCGGCA
Molecule: transfer RNA, 82 nt
Filed under: bacterium
Lineage: Bacteria
Also listed under: 1 other name
Description: tRNA-Leu
Rfam family: tRNA
About the family: Transfer RNA (tRNA) molecules are approximately 80 nucleotides in length.
Source: RNAcentral